Molecule: ribosomal RNA, 301 nt
Filed under: uncultured bacterium
Lineage: Bacteria
Description: partial 16S ribosomal RNA
Rfam family: Bacterial small subunit ribosomal RNA
Source: RNAcentral
CAGCAGCCGCGGUAAUACGAAGGGGGCUAGCGUUGCUCGGAAUGACUGGGCGUAAAGGGCGCGUAGGCGGUUUGUACAGUUGGGUGUGAAAUUCCUGGGCUUAACCUGGGGGCUGCACCCAAGACGUGCAGGCUUGAGUGUGGAAGAGGGUCGUGGAAUUCCCAGUGUAGAGGUGAAAUUCGUAGAUAUUGGGAAGAACACCGGUGGCGAAGGCGGCGACCUGGUCCAUUACUGACGCUGAGGCGCGAAAGCGUGGGGAGCAAACAGGAUUAGAUACCCCCGUAGUCCCUGUCUCUUAUAC